UACGGAGGGUGCAAGCGUUAUCCGGAUUUACUGGGUUUAAAGGGUGCGUAGGUGGAUUUGUAAGUCAGUGGUGAAAUCUCCGAGCUUAACUCGGAAACUGCCAUUGAUACUAUAAGUCUUGAAUUAUCUGGAGGUAAGCGGAAUAUGUCAUGUAGCGGUGAAAUGCUUAGAUAUGACAUAGAACACCAAUUGCGAAGGCAGCUUACUACGGAUAUAUUGACACUGAGGCACGAAAGCGUGGGGAUCAAACAGGAUUAGAUACCCUGGUAGUCCACGCCCUAAACGAUGGAUACUCGACAUCAGCGAUACACUGUUGGUGUCUGAGCGAAAGCAUUAAGUAUCCCACCUGGGAAGUACGAUCGCAAGAUUG
Molecule: ribosomal RNA, 370 nt
Filed under: uncultured prokaryote
Description: bacterial SSU rRNA
Rfam family: Bacterial small subunit ribosomal RNA
Source: RNAcentral